Molecule: ribosomal RNA, 500 nt
Filed under: uncultured Glomeromycotina
Lineage: Eukaryota; Fungi; Glomeromycota
Description: partial small subunit ribosomal RNA
Rfam family: Eukaryotic small subunit ribosomal RNA
Source: RNAcentral
CCAAUAGCGUAUAUUAAAGUUGUUGCAGUUAAAAAGCUCGUAGUUGAAUUUCGGGGUUAGUAGGUUGGUCAUGCCUCUGGUAUGUACUGGUCUCACUGAUUCCUCCUUCCUGAUGAUCCGUAAUGCCAUUUAUUUGGUGUUGCGGGGAAUUUGGACUGUUACUUUGAAAAAAUUAGAGUGUUUAAAGCAAGCUAACGCUUGAAUACAUUAGCAUGGAAUAAUGAAAUAGGACGUUCGAUCCUAUUUUGUUGGUCUCUAGGAUUGACGUAAUGAUUAAUAGGGAUAGUUGGGGGCAUUAGUAUUCAAUUGUCAGAGGUGAAAUUCUUGGAUUUAUUGAAGACUAACUACUGCGAAAGCAUUUGCCAAGGAUGUUUUCAUUAAUCAAGAACGAAAGUUAGGGGAUCGAAGACGAUCAGAUACCGUCGUAGUCUUAACCAUAAACUAUGCCGACUGGGGAUCGGAUGAUGUUAAUUUUUUAAUGACUCAUUCGGCGCCUUACG